Molecule: ribosomal RNA, 465 nt
Filed under: uncultured bacterium
Lineage: Bacteria
Description: partial 16S ribosomal RNA
Rfam family: Bacterial small subunit ribosomal RNA
Source: RNAcentral
GACGAACGCUUUCUUCGUGCUUAACACAUGCAAGUCGAACGGAAAGGCCCUGCUUGCAGGGUACUCGAGUGGCGAACGGGUGAGUAACACGUGGGUGAUCUGCCCUGCACUUCGGGAUAAGCCUGGGAAACUGGGUCUAAUACCGGAUAGGAGCCAUUUUUUGUGUGAUGGUUGGAAAGUUUUUUCGGUGUAGGAUGAGCUCGCGGCCUAUCAGCUUGUUGGUGGGGUAAUGGCCUACCAAGGCGGCGACGGGUAGCCGGCCUGAGAGGGUGGACGGCCACAUUGGGACUGAGAUACGGCCCAGACUCCUACGGGAGGCAGCAGUGGGGAAUAUUGCACAAUGGGCGCAAGCCUGAUGCAGCGACGCCGCGUGGGGGAUGACGGCCUUCGGGUUGUAAACGCCUUUCGCUAGGGACGAAGCUUUUUGUGACGGUACCUAGAUAAGAAGCACCGGCUAACUACGUG